UACGAAGGGGGCUAGCGUUGCUCGGAAUCACUGGGCGUAAAGAGCUCGUAGGCGGUUCGUCGCGUCGGCUGUGAAAACCCGGAGCUCAACUCCGGGCCUGCAGUCGAUACGGGCGGACUUGAGUGUUGCAGGGGAGACUGGAAUUCCUGGUGUAGCGGUGAAAUGCGCAGAUAUCAGGAGGAACACCGGUGGCGAAGGCGGGUCUCUGGGCAACUACUGACGCUGAGGAGCGAAAGCGUGGGGAGCGAACAGG
Molecule: ribosomal RNA, 253 nt
Filed under: uncultured bacterium
Lineage: Bacteria
Description: partial 16S ribosomal RNA
Rfam family: Bacterial small subunit ribosomal RNA
Source: RNAcentral